CGGAUUGUAGUCUGCAACCCGACUACAUGAAGCUGGAAUCGCUAGUAAUGGCAGGUCAGCAUACUGCCGUGAAUACGUUCCCGGGCCUUGUACACACCGCCCGUCACACCAUGAGAGUUGGGAAUACCCGAAGCCUGUGAGCUAACUUAUAGAGGCAGCAGUCGAAGGUAGAAUCAAUGAUUGGGGUGAAGUCGUAACAAGGUAGC
RNAcentral lists this ribosomal RNA (206 nucleotides) under uncultured bacterium. RNAcentral describes it as "partial 16S ribosomal RNA". It matches the Rfam family "Bacterial small subunit ribosomal RNA", at positions 1294 to 1500 of the family's 1533-position model. The record is from RNAcentral.